UACGUAGGGCGCAAGCGUUUGUCCGGAAUCAUUGGGCGUAAAGAGCUCGUAGGUGGUCUGUUACGUCUGCUGUGAAAUCCUAGGGCUUAACCCUGGGCCUGCAGUGGAUACGGGCAGACUAGAGGUAGGUAGGGGAGAACGGAAUUCCUGGUGUAGCGGUGAAAUGCGCAGAUAUCAGGAGGAACACCGGUGGCGAAGGCGGUUCUCUGGGCAUGUCCUGACGCUGAGGAGCGAAAGUGUGGGGAGCGAACAGG
Molecule: ribosomal RNA, 254 nt
Filed under: uncultured bacterium
Lineage: Bacteria
Description: partial 16S ribosomal RNA
Rfam family: Bacterial small subunit ribosomal RNA
Source: RNAcentral